This 66-nucleotide transfer RNA is filed under the name Saxidomus purpurata. RNAcentral describes it as "Saxidomus purpuratus tRNA-Asn". It matches the Rfam family "tRNA". Rfam says of the family: Transfer RNA (tRNA) molecules are approximately 80 nucleotides in length. The record is from RNAcentral. Lineage: Eukaryota; Metazoa; Mollusca; Bivalvia; Venerida; Veneridae.
CUAAGUUUUAGUUUAACUAAAAUGUUUAACUGUUAAUUAAAAGAUGUCUUUAAUGUCAAGCUUAGA